CCGGGUGACCACGCCCCUCGACCCCGAGCCUGCCUCAGGCCGCAGUUGUUUCCCGCCCUGUGUUCCUCUGGUUAAAUAUUAUCGAUCUUUCCUGGUUCACCCACCGCGAAUACCGUGAGAGCAAGGGGAGGGGAGAAAAGGCGGGAAAAACAAAAACACACACACCUCCUCAGCACACAGCUCUGCUCUCUCUAGACCCCGCCCCUAAAGGGAAGGAGCGGGCAGCAGGCAAGGCUGACGCGUCCGGCGCCAUCUUUCAAGUGGGCGGAACGAGUCGCGGCUGAUGCGCCCCAUUUCCUCGUGGGACACCGUAGGAAUGUAUUGUGUGCUGCUUCAGAGCUGGAGCUGAGGACUUGUUGAUUACCUCCCAUUUACCAAAUUACAGCAAAUUAGAUUGAACUGUGACUGGCAUGUGAACGAUCUGAUGUUGGACAUGGAUGAGGAAUAUUGCUCUAUAAACCACAUCGCUGCCCAUUUCCCGUAGUGUCCAGCAUGACUCGAAAGGCUCUCCACGAUCUGCUUCCAGCUGACUUUUCAAGGUGUCAUUCUUCCUGCGCUUUCCCCAUGUUCCUUGCAGAUCUGCGAGUGAUUACUGCUCUGUAAUCACCCACACAGUUCCCUCAGCCUGGAAUGCCCUUACCUUUCCAAUUCUGUGUGAAGAAAUCUUAUUAACUGCAGCAUCAUGUUGCUUCCUCCAGGAAGUCUCCCUGGAUUUCCCCAGGUAGAAUCAAUGUGUCAUUCUAUUGUGCAUCCUUAACCUCCACUGUUAAUAUAAAAACCAAACUCUUUGUAUUUAUACUUUACAUUUUGAGGGCAAAUAAUGGUCAUAUAAUACUGAAGCUAGAAGCUAUUAGAGAUAGUUAGAGCAACACAACAUAGGGUUUAAAGGCAUCAGCUUUAGGCUUAAAUCCUGGCUCAAAAACUUUAUAACCUUGGGUGAGUUACUUAACAUCUUGAACCUCAAUUUCCUCCUUUUGAAAAUGAGGUUGCUUUGAAGAUGAAAGGAGAUAAUCCAUAUAAAAUGUUUGCCCUGAUACCUGCCAUGUCGUAAUUGCUCAUUAAGGUUGGCCACUAUUAUCACAUGGUAGAUGCCCAAUUGGUGUUUGUUAAAUAAAUCUAUUCCCAAUUCCCAGUUUACAGAUGAAGAUAUUGAGAGGGCAAGGAAAAGGGACACUCGAGCUCACACUUGAGAUCCAUAACCAAUGCCUUUGUGCACCAGCAGCGGGGUGAGAGCUCUUUCUGCCCUAUCAACCUAAGGCGGGUAGAAGUCAUCUUGUCACUAGACUGCCACUUGUGGACGGGGACCUUGUCUGAUUCACCUCUGUCUGCCCCUUGCCUCUAAGCAUCGUGCCUUGCUUCUUGUAGAUUCUCGGUAAAUACUGAAUGCAAUUUAACAUCAGAAAAGAAUAAAUUAAGAAAAUUCCUUUAAUCAGUGCAUAGAUUUGACUUCGCAGAAUUUUACUAAGCUCCAGAUAUGGCACAUGAUCAGGUGACAUUAAUAAGGAAAAGCUUAAAUUGAAUGUCAUUGCUUUUUUUUAGGUGACACAAACCGGCCACUUAAGCAUCAAGAUUUCGAGAUUAGAGUAAACAUUUCAUAUCCUACCAACUGAAAAGGAUAAAAAAUUCAGACACAUUAUUUUAAACCUGCAAUUGUACCCGUGGCAUUAAUCAUCAGUUUCAAAUUUGAUCAUGAAAGAUAAGCAAGUAUUGCCUUUAUGGAAGUAAUGGAAUUUGCCAAGUUGUUAUCAUGAAGGUUAAUUAGGACUCUGUGAGAGCAAGCAACUGAGUCACAGGCAGUAAGUCUGUUUUCGAAAACAUAGAAAGGGAUGGAUUGUCAUGUCAUUUUUUUCAUCUUAAGAGAUAUAAAAGAGAAAUAGUGCUCGAACAUUGCUGAUCAUGUCUCAAGACUAUCACUUGCUUUUACAAGAUAGUGCAUUAAGAAAAGAACGAAAAUACUGCACGGAAAAUGGCAUAAGGAUCUAAUUCUGAAGCACUUUUUCCACUAAGGAACUAAACAUUAUAAGUCAGGAGAUGUGCACAAUUCUCUUCUGAACACAGAGGAAAAAGAAAAGAAAAGGAAAUGUUCCCUUUGAUGAAUAGCAAAUAGCUAACGCUCUUCUGGUUUUGCUACACCAAGAUCCAGAAGGUAGUACUUACUGAGCCUCAACCCUCCUCAGUAACCUGGGUAGCCUGAGUCAGAGGAAUCCAGCAUCCAUACUCCUAAACUAUCCUGUUGGACCCUGUUUACUGAUGGAAGUCCUUCCCAGUUGUGAGUGUCUUCUGACUAGUGCAGUUCCAGGACCAGUGACAUUGGAUAAAUCCAGCUGCAAAGGAAGGUGGGUGGUCUUUAAACCUAAAGUCAAGCAAAUCUGGCAGAUGGAGUUCACCUCAAGUGCAAACACCAUUCAGUGGUCGUGGUGCCUGGAUCCCUUUCUCCAGAAGGCUUGUGACAGCAGUGCUGUGACUGAGUAACGCUGGCCGUCUGCCCCAGCUGCACAUGGGCAUUCACGAUGGUCUGCUGUUGCAUCUCUGCUGUCCUACCCUACCUUGACCAAGACUUCUCCCUGUGGCUGGGCUGCCCUCACUCCCUGUCAGCUAGCUCACACCUCACUGGAUUUACUUCCUUAUUCUGUUGCACUUGUUUUCAUCGAGUUGAGAAACAUAGGACUCCCA
RNAcentral lists this long non-coding RNA (2673 nucleotides) under Equus asinus (donkey). Its description in RNAcentral is "lncRNA (ENSEASG00005036009.1)". The record is from RNAcentral. Lineage: Eukaryota; Metazoa; Chordata; Mammalia; Perissodactyla; Equidae.